GAUGAACGCUGGCGGCGUGCCUAACACAUGCAAGUCGAACGGAGAUUACGGACGGAAGUUUUCGGAUGGAAGCCUGUAAUUCUUAGUGGCGGACGGGUGAGUAACGCGUGGGCAACCUGCCCUAUACAGGGGGAUAGCAGCUGGAAACGGCUGGUAAGACCGCAUAAGUCGGUUAAAUCGCAUGAUUUGAUCGGGAAAUGAGCAAUCAGGUAUAGGAUGGGCCCGCGUCCGAUUAGCCAGUUGGCAGGGUAAAAGCCUACCAAAGCGACGAUCGGUAGCCGGACUGAGAGGUCGGACGGCCACAUUGGGACUGAGACACGGCCCAAACUCCUACGGGAGGCAGCAGUGGGGGAUAUUGCACAAUGGAGGAAACUCUGAUGCAGCGACGCCGCGUGAGUGAAGAAGUAUUUCGGUAUGUAAAGCUCUAUCAGCAGGGAAGAUGAUGACGGUACCUGACUAAGGAGCCCCGGCUAACUACGUG
RNAcentral lists this ribosomal RNA (481 nucleotides) under uncultured bacterium. RNAcentral describes it as "partial 16S ribosomal RNA". It matches the Rfam family "Bacterial small subunit ribosomal RNA", at positions 28 to 507 of the family's 1533-position model. The record is from RNAcentral.